This is a long non-coding RNA of Macrosteles quadrilineatus (aster leafhopper), 232 nucleotides long. RefSeq lists it as uncharacterized. The record is from RefSeq and is a predicted model, not a curated record. NCBI's taxonomy places the organism in Eukaryota, Metazoa, Arthropoda, Insecta, Hemiptera, Cicadellidae. The transcript has 3 exons.
AUUUAAUGACUAUUAAAGAAAAUGUAUAAAUAUUUAAACCACCAGAGGAUUGCUAUUAAUUUACUCUGCGAGUUUCAAGAAUAUUAUUAAAGAUGUAUUUUGCAUCAGCUGUCAUCCUGGCAUUUGCUACCUUUCUAGCAUUCGUCGAUUUCACGCUUGCAAAACCCGAACCGAAACCUGCAACCGGAACUAUGUCCUAAAUAUCAAGGAAUGGAAGCUGCACUAGUGUUAU